GACGAACGCUGGCGGCGUGCUUAACACAUGCAAGUCGAACGGAAAGGCCCCUUUGGGGGUACUCGAGUGGCGAACGGGUGCGUAACACGUGAGUAACCUGCCCUUGACUUCGGGAUAACUUCAGGAAACUGGGGCUAAUACCGGAUAGGAAUCCUUGCUGCAUGGGGGGGGUUGGAAAGCUUCGGCGGUUUUGGAUGGACUCGCGGCUUAUCAGCUUGUUGGUGGGGUAGUGGCUUACCAAGGCUUUGACGGGUAGCCGGCCUGAGAGGGCGACCGGCCACAUUGGGACUGAGAGACGGCCCAGACGCCUACGGGAGGCAGCAGUGGGGAAUAUUGCACAAUGGGCGGAAGCCUGAUGCAGCAACGCCGCGUGCGGGAUGACGGCCUUCUGGUUGUAAACCGCUUUCAGCAGGGGCGAAGCUUGUGGUGACGGUACCUGCAGAAGAAGCACCGGCUAACUACGUG
RNAcentral lists this ribosomal RNA (465 nucleotides) under uncultured bacterium. Its description in RNAcentral is "partial 16S ribosomal RNA". It matches the Rfam family "Bacterial small subunit ribosomal RNA", at positions 28 to 507 of the family's 1533-position model. The record is from RNAcentral.